RNAcentral lists this long non-coding RNA (304 nucleotides) under Gossypium raimondii (Peruvian cotton). RNAcentral's name for it is "long non-coding RNA (GRAI_LNC004371)". Lineage: Eukaryota; Viridiplantae; Streptophyta; Magnoliopsida; Malvales; Malvaceae. The record is from RNAcentral.
UCCAGGACGAUAAAGGCGAAUGGAUUCUGGGUUUUUCUCGAAACAUUGGGGUCGGAACCGCUCUGCAAUCUGAACUCUUGAGGUAUUUUUGAUGGUUUGUCAAUUACUUGGAAUGGUGGUUAUUGACAAGUGAUCCUCGAAACAGAUUGUAAGGAAGCAGUGGAUUGAAUCAACAGCGGUACGGACUUUCUUCCUUGUUUGGAGCUGGUCAAGGAUUUACAACAUUUAUGCAAGCGCCAUUGGAGCAUCCAUAUUCAACAUAUUCCGAGAGGAGUUAAUAGAGUGGCCAACUUUAUAGCUAAAC